GCAUUCUUAUUUAAUUUCCUUUCAUUACAGGUUAGCGGAAAAUUCGUUGAAGAUACAGAACUGAGGAGAAAUAUGCAAUUUAAGGACAUGUUUUGCAGGAUGUUGGUGUGGCAUCUGCGCCACGCAAUUGCUCUUUAUUUAUGCAAUGGCGUCAGGAGAUGGAGACGGCAUCAUAAAAUUGUCGGUUUUUUGUAUCUAUAAUCGCAAAAGUUGGCGAUUUUGUUUUGCUAUAGUGAGGCCCGUCUCCUGAUUUACGUGCGCAUCAUCGGCAGGAUGAGGGCGAAUUUUUGUAUCUGCUGGAUUGCCUGUCAGGUUGUCGGGAAGUCAUUGAGAAAACGGUAUUGCGGAGAUUUAUACAAUUUGGAGACGGAUUUUAAUUCAUUUUAAUAUGAAGUUUGUUCCGGGAUAGUGAUCCUUGUGAGUGCAGUGGCAUCAGGAGAUGGAGACGGCGUUGUAAGGUUGUCAGUUUUUUGUGUUUAUAAUCGCGAAAGGUGGCGAUUUUGUUUUUCUUUUGCGGAGCCGGUCUUCUCUUGAUGGUUGUGUUGGAUCACCAGUUGGCUCUGGUUAUUGAGGUUUUAGCGUCAACUAAUGUAGGCGCUCGUCGAUCUGGAAGAUUAUCAGAGUAGCAGGAAGGAUAGAUUUUGCUGCUCCGCGCAAGGUGCCCUGAUCGGAGCAUAGGCAGCUUAUAUGGCCCGUCAAUUGCAGCGCAGCACUGCAAGUAGAUUGUAUCGGUGAUAAGGGAUACUACCAGGGACUGUGUGGCGAAGAAAGUUCAGUUGGUUUUCUCCGCAUCGUUUCGUCAGGAUCAGCUGGAGUGCGUUGUCUUAGGAUUGCUCAUCCGGAUGCGUUGAGAUAAAUUAGGCUGCGUCGAGAAGGGUGGUGACAGUGGAGGAGGUUUAUAAGCAGACAGACGUGCGCUUUUCCAUCGGAUAAAGAUAUCGUUUAUUUAGAUGUAAGAGGAUAUAGAUUUAAUUUGAUGUGUCCAUGUCAAGAUUAUUGUUUCUUAUUUGUAAGAUUAAGGCCAUUAAAAUGUCAAUUUUCUUUUCUAA
Long non-coding RNA from Drosophila sechellia, 1049 nucleotides. RefSeq lists it as uncharacterized. The transcript has 5 exons. Lineage: Eukaryota; Metazoa; Arthropoda; Insecta; Diptera; Drosophilidae. The record is from RefSeq and is a predicted model, not a curated record.